GAAGAGCUGCUCAUAAUUGGCGGUAAGCUCAGUUUGACCUCAAAAGAGCAUUGAACAUUAACCUAACAUUAGGAACAACUAUUAUAGAUUAAUCUCAAGUUCGAGCAGGUAUAAGAAUAAACGCAAACAAAGAAAUGAACAAUGAUAAAAUGAACAAUGAUAUCAAACCUUGAACAAGGACGUUUUGUUUAAUCAUAUUUUCUCUCUUAUGAUUUAUCCAAUUUGUCAUUGUAGCACCUUUUGACCCUGCAGGUGAAAAGUUUGGAGGGUACAAA
Molecule: unclassified non-coding RNA, 275 nt
Filed under: Hevea brasiliensis (rubber tree)
Lineage: Eukaryota; Viridiplantae; Streptophyta; Magnoliopsida; Malpighiales; Euphorbiaceae
Source: RNAcentral